CUCAUCAAACCCCAUUUUAUUUUUCUCUCACCAUUUUCUCUUUCAUUAAAACCUCCACAUUCUCUCUCAUCAAACUACAAUUUUCUCUCAUCAAAUUACAUAUUUAUCUCUCUUUACACCUCCAAUUUGACUCCGAUGGAUUCCAUAGUGACGGUUACUCAUGCGAUUUCGGCGAAUUUCUAGUCGGAUUCGUCGAAUUUCUGGUCAGAUCUGUCGAAUUUUUGGUCGGAUGUGUCAAAUUUUGGUCAGAUCUGUCGAUUUUUUGGUCGAAUCUGUCGAAUUUCUGAUCGAUUCCGACGAAUUUUUGAUCAGAUCCGUCGAAUAUCUUUCUCCUCUCUUUACGCCAAUCCAUGUUUAUUUGUAUGAAAUUUGAAGGAAAAGGUUAAUAUGAAUGUGCCAACAAAAGAAAAAAACCGAUUCGAAAUGGAAGAUGUGGUAUUAAGAUAGGCUGCAAGAAUUGAAGGUAAAAACAACAAGAAAAGAAUCCGCAAAUAAGGAAGCAGAUAGAAAGAGAAAAAAGACCGGUCUAGCGAAAAAGUGGAAGCCGAAAGGAAAGAAGCAAAAAAUUUAGAAUCAUAUAGAAAUAGAACUAAAAUAGAAGAAGCAAAUAGAAAAAUAGAUGAUAUGUUCAUUUUUUGAACAUGAAUGUUCAUUAAGUUAGGUAGUGUUCUCUUCACCUGAAUUUCACUUAUCUUAUCUUAUUGACCCUGAACUUAUCUUAUCUUAUCUUAUCUUAUUGACCCUUAUCUUAUCU
Spinacia oleracea (spinach) is the source of this 754-nucleotide long non-coding RNA. RefSeq lists it as uncharacterized. Lineage: Eukaryota; Viridiplantae; Streptophyta; Magnoliopsida; Caryophyllales; Amaranthaceae. The record is from RefSeq and is a predicted model, not a curated record. The transcript has 2 exons.